This 399-nucleotide ribosomal RNA is filed under the name uncultured Glomeromycotina. RNAcentral describes it as "SSU rRNA". It matches the Rfam family "Eukaryotic small subunit ribosomal RNA", at positions 569 to 971 of the family's 1831-position model. The record is from RNAcentral. Lineage: Eukaryota; Fungi; Glomeromycota.
AGCAGCCGCGGUAAUUCCAGCUCCAAUAGCGUAUAUUAAAGUUGUUGCAGUUAAAAAGCUCGUAGUUGAAUUUCGGGGUUAGUAGGUUGGUCAUGCCUCUGGUAUGUACUGGUCUCACUGAUUCCUCCUUCCUGAUGAACCUUAAUGCCAUUAAUUUGGUGUUUUGGGGAAUUUGGACUGUUACUUUGAAAAAAUUAGAGUGUUUAAAGCAAGCUAACGCUUGAAUACAUUAGCAUGGAAUAAUGAAAUAGGACGUUCGAUCCUAUUUUGUUGGUUUCUAGGAUUGACGUAAUGAUUAAUAGGGAUAGUUGGGGGCAUUAGUAUUCAAUUGUCAGAGGUGAAAUUCUUGGAUUUUAUUGAAGACUAACUACUGCGAAAGCAUUUGCCAAGGAUGUUUUC